GCCAGGCUGGUGGCAUAAGCCUGUAAUCCCAGUGGCUUGGGAGGCUGAGGCAGGAGGAUCACAAGUUCAAAGCCAGCCUCAGCAACUUAGCAAGGCCCUAAGCAACUUAGUGAGACCCUGUCUCAA
This 126-nucleotide small RNA is filed under the name Marmota monax (woodchuck). Lineage: Eukaryota; Metazoa; Chordata; Mammalia; Rodentia; Sciuridae. The record is from RNAcentral.